Protopterus annectens (West African lungfish) is the source of this 537-nucleotide long non-coding RNA. RefSeq lists it as uncharacterized. The record is from RefSeq and is a predicted model, not a curated record. NCBI's taxonomy places the organism in Eukaryota, Metazoa, Chordata, Ceratodontiformes, Protopteridae. The transcript is spliced from 3 exons.
GUGAGAAACAAACUUCCACCAUGAAUCGUAUGGCUUUCUUCCUUCUUGUCCUAGUUGCAGUGGCACAAAUUAUGAGUAUGCAGAAUGGAGUUACUGUAGAGGCCCAUUCCUGCAGAACACAUUUAGGCAGAUGCCGAAGUCGUUGUUUGAAGAAUGAGAUUUCCAUUGGUCAACAUGGCUGCUGCCAUGGCCUAGUCUGCUGUUUAACAUGAGGAACUUGGCUCAUUGAUUUAAGGAGAAAAAAGAAAGAAUGACUACACUUCCAAAAAUGCUUUCUAGGAGCUUCUAACAACUAUGGCUCUUCAGUGAUUUGUUUUGGCCUGUGUUUCCUUUGCAGCAUUCCUCAUAAGGACCAAAUCAAUAUAUAAAGUAAAUGUAAUAAAUUUGAUGCAACUCUGUUUGCUAUGUAAAGUAAAAGCUUGCUGAAUAUAACAAAUCACACAUUGUACUUACACAACAUCUGUGAUUAUAAGCUCUUAUCUCCUUUGCAGCUCUAUCUUACUUAUUUUUUAAUAAAAUGUUUAUUUAGCAGUUUCA